GUGGAUUAGAUACCCGAGUAGUCCACGCCCUAAACGAUGCGAACUGGAUGUUGGGUGCAACUAGGCACUCAGUAUCGAAGCUAACGCGUUAAGUUCGCCGCCUGGGGAGUACGGUCGCAAGACUGAAACUCAAAGGAAUUGACGGGGGCCCGCACAAGCGGUGGAGUAUGUGGUUUAAUUCGAUGCAACGCGCAGAACCUUACCUGGCCUUGACAUCCACGGAACUUUCCAGAGAUGGAUUGGUGCCUUCGGGAACCGUGAGACAGGUGCUGCACGGCCGUCGACAACU
This 289-nucleotide ribosomal RNA is filed under the name uncultured bacterium. RNAcentral describes it as "partial 16S ribosomal RNA". It matches the Rfam family "Bacterial small subunit ribosomal RNA", at positions 773 to 1060 of the family's 1533-position model. The record is from RNAcentral.